CCUUAUGAAAACAUUCUCUCAGUGAUAUUAGUAAACCUACAGUAGUGUAUCAUGUCUCGCGAUUGGAGGGACAAUUUUAGUAAACAAUCGAAUAAUUUCGACAUUAGAAAUGUAAAAAUUCAUUCCAAAGAACGAACAUAUUCAUCAGAUACAUCAAAUAUAAUCGAAAGAGAAACAACAGCCGUUUCACAUAAUAGUCAGACUUACUUCUAUGCAGAUUCGAAAUCGUGCAAAGUUCAAUCGAAUGAUCCGAGUGAUUUGUAUCGAGCCUUAGAUAUAACUUUCAAAGCAAAACCUUCAAUUUUCGGUAAAUUGGUCACUGCUAUUAAUACCUUACUGGGAUAUUCUUUUGAAGAAGACGAUACGACGGCACUUGUGAAUAGUGAGAAAAACAGAUUCAAUAAAGGCAGCUCCAAGCCCAAAAUGUGAAUAGUCAAAAAAUAAAGGAAAGCUAAGUUGUAAGUAA
Molecule: long non-coding RNA, 466 nt
Organism: Bradysia coprophila
Lineage: Eukaryota; Metazoa; Arthropoda; Insecta; Diptera; Sciaridae
Source: RefSeq, a predicted model, not a curated record